GAUGAACGCUAGCGGCAGGCCUAAUACAUGCAAGUCGAGGGGUAACAGGAGAGCUUGCUUUUGCUGACGACCGGCGCACGGGUGCGUAACGCGUAUGCGACCUACCUAUAACAGAGGGAUAGCCUAGAGAAAUUUGGAUUAAUACCUCAUAGUACUAUAAAGCUGCAUGGUUUAAUAGUUAAAGAUUUAUCGGUUAUAGAUGGGCAUGCGUAUGAUUAGCUAGUUGGUAGUGUAAUAGACUACCAAGGCGACGAUCAUUAGGGGUUCUGAGAGGAAGAUCCCCCACACUGGCACUGAGAUACGGGCCAGACUCCUACGGGAGGCAGCAGUAGGGAAUAUUGGUCAAUGGGGGCAACCCUGAACCAGCCAUGCCGCGUGCAGGAAGAAUGCCUUCUGGGUUGUAAACUGCUUUUAUAUGCGAGGAAUAUUCUCAUGUAUGGGAUAAAUGACGUUAGCAUACGAAUAAGGACCGGCUAACUCCG
RNAcentral lists this ribosomal RNA (482 nucleotides) under uncultured Flammeovirgaceae bacterium. RNAcentral describes it as "bacterial SSU rRNA". It matches the Rfam family "Bacterial small subunit ribosomal RNA", at positions 28 to 505 of the family's 1533-position model. Lineage: Bacteria; Pseudomonadati; Bacteroidota; Cytophagia; Cytophagales; Flammeovirgaceae. The record is from RNAcentral.